RNAcentral lists this ribosomal RNA (203 nucleotides) under uncultured Enterobacteriaceae bacterium. RNAcentral's name for it is "partial 16S ribosomal RNA". It matches the Rfam family "Bacterial small subunit ribosomal RNA", at positions 325 to 520 of the family's 1533-position model. The record is from RNAcentral. Lineage: Bacteria; Pseudomonadati; Pseudomonadota; Gammaproteobacteria; Enterobacterales; Enterobacteriaceae.
CGCGCGGCGGGGGCCUACGGGAGGCAGCAGUGGGGAAUAUUGCACAAUGGGCGCAAGCCUGAUGCAGCCAUGCCGCGUGUAUGAAGAAGGCCUUCGGGUUGUAAAGUACUUUCAGCGGGGAGGAAGGGAGUAAAGUUAAUACCUUUGCUCAUUGACGUUACCCGCAGAAGAAGCACCGGCUAACUCCGUGCCAGCAGCCGCGG